RNAcentral lists this ribosomal RNA (445 nucleotides) under uncultured bacterium. RNAcentral describes it as "partial 16S ribosomal RNA". It matches the Rfam family "Bacterial small subunit ribosomal RNA", at positions 354 to 796 of the family's 1533-position model. The record is from RNAcentral.
GUGAGGAAUAUUGGUCAAUGGGCGAGAGCCUGAACCAGCCAAGUCGCGUGAAGGAUGAAGGUUUUAUGAAUUGUAAACUUCUUUUGCAGGGGAAUAAAGUACGGUACGUGUACCGUUUUGUAUGUACUCUGCGAAUAAGGAUCGGCUAACUCCGUGCCAGCAGCCGCGGUAAUACGGAGGAUCCAAGCGUUAUCCGGAUUUAUUGGGUUUAAAGGGUGCGCAGGCGGGUUGAUAAGUCAGCGGUGAAAGUUUGCAGCUUAACUGUAAAAUUGCCGUUGAAACUGUCGAUCUUGAGUGCAAAUGAGGUAAGCGGAAUGUGUUGUGUAGCGGUGAAAUGCUUAGAUAUAACACAGAACACCGAUUGCGAAGGCAGCUUACUGGGAUGCAACUGACGCUCAUGCACGAAAGCGUGGGGAGCAAACAGGAUUAGAUACCCUUGUAGUCC